UGCGUUGAAUUCAUUUGGUGAUUUAUUGCCGAUUCUACAAAAUGAACAAUUGCCUGCAACUUAAACAUUGGAUCCAUAGAGAUGAACCAAAUAUGAACGCCUAAAAGAAAUAGUUGUGGAUUUUUCAACACUUAAAAUCUCCUGUAUACACAUACGUACUUUCAAUGUCAUCUCUCGAACCAUACAAAUUGGUUAUUUAACGAUCACACAUUGAGAAUUAAUAUUUGUG
This 229-nucleotide long non-coding RNA is filed under the name Mytilus galloprovincialis (Mediterranean mussel). The record is from RNAcentral. Lineage: Eukaryota; Metazoa; Mollusca; Bivalvia; Mytilida; Mytilidae.